UACUUCAGUGGUGCCCAAAUUCUAUUUCUCCCUCGCGUCACUCCACUGGACCCUAACUGCCAGCCGUGACUCCCAUAGCCUCAAGCCGUCGAAGCCCUCGCCUGAAAGGGAUUGACCUCCUGCUGUUGUCGCCUGUCGCAGCUCUCGGCUUUUGAAGCCCGGACCUGUCCUCGUCGUCGUCAGUCUAGAGCUGCUGCUGGCCCGUCUUCUCUUCUCGGGAGUUUGAGAUGGCUUGGAAAGGUCGUUACAUGAAAAAGGCAAAGUUGGAACCAGGAAUUCAGCAACCUCAAACGGGAGCGAAUACGGCUUCAGCUUCCCACCACGAUGACUCUCAAAUCUCCCCCGGCCACUGGUGAUAGUGUCUUCACACCCGUUCUGUCCACCGCACAGCGAACGAAGGCCUGCUCCACAAACGAGCACAGAUAGUGCCCAGAACUCGCUGCCAGGAGACGUAAACUUAGGCGCUAAUGCGAAUGAGGUAUUUUCUAGCUGAAAUUGAGGGACCUGAUUCAGAAGCUUAAAAAGGACUGCAGAAGCUGUUGAUUCUGACCUCCCUGCACUUGAAAUGUAUUUUUUGGAGCUACAGAUAUCCAAUUGAUGCGCUAUCAAUUGCAUUGGAAAGUAGAAAUCUUGGGCUUUCCAGCAAUAUAUAAUAGUCUAUACUUGGCCCGAGAUUUGGUAGCACAAACUGGCUUUUAAACGCCAGCUCCUUACCCUUUUCUGGCGUUAAACGCCAGAACUGGCAUAAAAGUUGGAGUUAAACGUCCAAACUGGCACAAAAGUUGGAGUUC
Non-coding RNA from Arachis ipaensis, 791 nucleotides. NCBI's taxonomy places the organism in Eukaryota, Viridiplantae, Streptophyta, Magnoliopsida, Fabales, Fabaceae. The record is from RefSeq and is a predicted model, not a curated record.